RNAcentral lists this ribosomal RNA (171 nucleotides) under uncultured bacterium. Its description in RNAcentral is "partial 16S ribosomal RNA". It matches the Rfam family "Bacterial small subunit ribosomal RNA", at positions 337 to 525 of the family's 1533-position model. The record is from RNAcentral.
UCCUACGGGAGGCAGCAGUCGGGAAUUUUGCGCAAUGGGCGAAAGCCUGACGCAGCAACGCCGCGUGAGGGAUGAAGGCCUUCGGGUUGUAAACCUCUUUUGUCAGGGAAGAUGAUGACGGUACCUGACGAAUAAGUCACGGCUAACUACGUGCCAGCAGCCGCGGUAAUA